RNAcentral lists this ribosomal RNA (484 nucleotides) under uncultured bacterium. Its description in RNAcentral is "partial 16S ribosomal RNA". It matches the Rfam family "Bacterial small subunit ribosomal RNA", at positions 28 to 507 of the family's 1533-position model. The record is from RNAcentral.
AUUGAACGCUGGCGGCAUGCUUUACACAUGCAAGUCGAACGGCAGCGCGGGCUUCGGCCUGGCGGCGAGUGGCGAACGGGUGAGUAAUGCAUCUGAACGUGCCCAGUAGUGGGGGAUAGCCCGGCGAAAGCCGGAUUAAUACCGCAUACGACCUGAGGGUGAAAGCGGGGGACCGAGAGGCCUCGCGCUAUUUGAGCGGCCGAUGUCGGAUUAGCUAGUUGGUGGGGUAAAGGCUUACCAAGGCGACGAUCCGUAGCUGGUCUGAGAGGACGACCAGCCACACUGGGACUGAGACACGGCCCAGACUCCUACGGGAGGCAGCAGUGGGGAAUUUUGGACAAUGGGGGCAACCCUGAUCCAGCCAUGCCGCGUGCGGGAAGAAGGCCUUCGGGUUGUAAACCGCUUUUGUUCGGGAAGAAAUCCUGUGGGCUAAUACCCCGGGGGGAUGACGGUACCGGAAGAAUAAGCACCGGCUAACUACGUG